UACGUAGGGGGCUAGCGUUGUCCGGAAUCAUUGGGCGUAAAGCGCGCGUAGGCGGCUGGAUAAGUCCGGUGUGAAAGUCAAAGGCUCAACCUUUGAAUGCCGCUGGAAACUGUCUGGCUCGAGUCCGGGAGGGGCGAGUGGAAUUCCUGGUGUAGCGGUGAAAUGCGUAGAGAUCAGCAGGAACACCCGUGGCGAAGGCGGCCCCCUGGGCCGUACCUGACGCUGAGGCGCGAAGGCUAGGGGAGCGAACGGG
This 253-nucleotide ribosomal RNA is filed under the name uncultured bacterium. RNAcentral's name for it is "partial 16S ribosomal RNA". It matches the Rfam family "Bacterial small subunit ribosomal RNA", at positions 524 to 776 of the family's 1533-position model. The record is from RNAcentral.